UACCUAUAAUUUUUGACAUGUAAAUGAAUAUAAUAUUAAAUAAUAAUAAUAAUAAUAAAUAAAUUAUAUUCUAAUGAAUAGAAUUAUAUCGCAUAUCAUUAUUGAAAGAGAAGAUUGAUAAAGAAUAUAGAUCUACUCAUCAAUAUUUGUAUCUUCCUCGAUGUGUAGAUCCUCUUCCAAAUCACAAUAAUCGACAUAUGUAUAAACAUAAUCCCGAGGAUGGC
Molecule: long non-coding RNA, 224 nt
Filed under: Elaeis guineensis (African oil palm)
Lineage: Eukaryota; Viridiplantae; Streptophyta; Magnoliopsida; Arecales; Arecaceae
Description: long non-coding RNA (EGUI_LNC077851)
Source: RNAcentral